UAAUACGUAGGGGGCAAGCGUUGUCCGGAAUUAUUGGGCGUAAAGCGCGCGCAGGCGGUUUUUUAAGUCUGGUGUUUAAUCCCGAGGCUCAACCUCGGUUCGCACCGGAAACUGGGAGACUGGAGUGCAGGAGAGGAAAGUGGAAUUCCACGUGUAGCGGUGAAAUGCGUAGAGAUGUGGAGGAACACCAGUGGCGAAGGCGACUUUCUGGCCUGUAACUGACGCUGAGGCGCGAAAGCGUGGGGAGCAAACAGGAUUAGAUACCCUGGUAGUCCACGCCGUAAACGAUGCAUGCUAGGUGUUAGGGGUUUCGAUACCCUUGGUGCCGAAGUUAACACAGUAAGCAUGCCGCCUGGGGAGUACGCUCGCAAGAGUGAAACUCAAAUGAAUUGACGG
RNAcentral lists this ribosomal RNA (396 nucleotides) under uncultured bacterium. Its description in RNAcentral is "bacterial SSU rRNA". It matches the Rfam family "Bacterial small subunit ribosomal RNA", at positions 521 to 916 of the family's 1533-position model. The record is from RNAcentral.